GCGACACUAGCUCAGUUGGUAGAGCGCAACCUUGCCAAGGUUGAGGUUACGCCUAGUUCUUCAAAAGAUCAGGAACCUCGUGUGUCGCUCCA
This 92-nucleotide transfer RNA is filed under the name Photobacterium damselae subsp. damselae. RNAcentral's name for it is "tRNA-Gly". It matches the Rfam family "tRNA". From Rfam's summary of the family: Transfer RNA (tRNA) molecules are approximately 80 nucleotides in length. Their secondary structure includes four short double-helical elements and three loops (D, anti-codon, and T loops). The record is from RNAcentral. Lineage: Bacteria; Pseudomonadati; Pseudomonadota; Gammaproteobacteria; Vibrionales; Vibrionaceae.